UCGAACUGCUAUACUGACUGGUGUCAUGUUGCUGUUAUCUCUCCUGUUGAUGUUGAUUGUUUUCAAAGAUAGUAGAUGUAUAACUAUAGAGAUGUCACCUCUCUCACAAGCCCACAUCAGACAAUCUCUGCCCCUGUUAUCUGUAAUUGACAGAUCAGCUCCCUCUGACACAAGAAGGUGAUAAACAUCAGAGUGUCCGGCUUGAACUGCUAUAAUGACUGGUGUCAUGUUGUCGUGAUCUCUACUGUUGAUGUUGAUUUUGUACAAAGAUAGUAGAUGCCUAACUAUAGAGAUGCCAC
Molecule: long non-coding RNA, 299 nt
Organism: Haliotis rubra (blacklip abalone)
Lineage: Eukaryota; Metazoa; Mollusca; Gastropoda; Lepetellida; Haliotidae
Exons: 3
Source: RefSeq, a predicted model, not a curated record